AACCGCCGCUGCAGACUCAGGCACUCCUGCACUCUUAGGGGCCUGAGAAGGCGGCCUCUGCUCUUGCAGGCUCGGAAAUGCCUGCCCUGUCUUCCUGGCUUCUCCCUGCUCUUAGUGCUCCCUGGGAUCUCAGAGCAAAGUCGGCCCAAGCCUGGGAGCCAACAACAGUGGGAGGCAGAGUCCUAGGCAGAAGGGGGUGGGUCCCUGGUAAGGUCCCUGCCUCAGACCAGGGAGCACCUGAAGGCUGGGGGGUCAGGCUGCCAGACCCACUGACUGGAGUGGGAACUGGUGCCUUUUCAAGGCCUGCCCAUGGCCACCUAUGGGCCAGUCAGCACACACUUCCUCCCCUCUGAGGCCCAUAAAAAGCUCCAGGCUCCCCCAGAGCUGAGCAGAGGUCGGGCGGACCAGCAGCAGAGAGGAGCUACUCUCUCUGCUAAGAGCGUCAUAGACUUGCAGAGACCUACGGAGACGCCUGCAGACCUGGCUGAGGAGAGGAGCUACCCUCCCCAAUGCCUCCUCUCUGCUGAGAGCAGCUGACCUCAGCACUGCCAGUGACUAGAAAGGAGUUACUCUCUCCAGGGCCUCCUCUCUGCUGAGACCAGCGGACCUCGGCACUGCCAGUGGGUAGAAAGGAGUUACUCUCUCCAGGGCCUCCUCUCUGCUGAGAGCAGCUGACCUCGGCACUGCCAGUGGGUAGAAAGGAGUUACUCUCUCCAGGGCCUCCUCUCUGCUGAGAACAGCGGACCUCGGCACAUCCAGUGGGUAGAGAGGAGUUGCUCUCUCCAGGGCCUCCUCUCUGCUGAGAACAGCGGACCUCGGCACAUCCAGUGGGUAGAGAGGAGUUGCUCUCUCCAGGGCCUCCUCUCUGCUGAGAGCUGAACACUGCAUGGGCGACCUGCCUGCCCACAGAGGGGAGCUUCCCACUGUGCAUCUCCCUCUGAGCUGUUCUAACGCUAAAUAAAGCUCCUCUUCAUAUUCUUCACCCUUCGCUUGUCAGCAAACUUCAUUCUUCCUGGACGCAGGACAAGAACUCAGGCAAAGGGCAAAGGUGCCACCAGCAACAGAGGUUUCAGGGAAAGAAAACUGAUACCCUAAAGAUCCUGUAACACAAGUGUGGUGCAGACAUUCUUCACUGCAAUUUUUCCUAUUUGUAGAGCACUGUUGUUUAUUCUGUGAAAGCUAAUACUCUAUGUUACAAAUGCUAAAGAAAAAGAAGUGAAAAAGAUCAUCCCUACUGAAAGAGAAUGCCUCUAGCUUCAUUACACAAAUGCACAGUUUUCUGGCAAUUUAAAUAGAAUUUCGAGCAAAUGAAAGAGAACAGUGGAAAUCAUAUAAAACUCUCUUAAUGAAUGGCAUGGAAACGUUCGUUGGAAACACCAAGGAAAGGCCAUAAGCAGACAUAGUAGGAAGGCAGCUGCAAGCAGGAAAAGAAGCCUCACCAGAAACUGAAUUUGCUAGCAAUGCCGUUGACUUCUAGGCUCCAGUACAGAGAAUAGAUUGUGGAAGAAGGCAAGAGAGUGUAUUUUCUUCCUAGAGGCAAAAAAGACUGACCAUAAUCAACAGGUAGUGGAAGGAGAAGCAGCUGAGAAAGU
Symphalangus syndactylus (siamang) is the source of this 1592-nucleotide long non-coding RNA. RefSeq lists it as uncharacterized. The record is from RefSeq and is a predicted model, not a curated record. NCBI's taxonomy places the organism in Eukaryota, Metazoa, Chordata, Mammalia, Primates, Hylobatidae.